RNAcentral lists this ribosomal RNA (496 nucleotides) under uncultured bacterium. Its description in RNAcentral is "partial 16S ribosomal RNA". It matches the Rfam family "Bacterial small subunit ribosomal RNA", at positions 29 to 507 of the family's 1533-position model. The record is from RNAcentral.
ACGAACGCUGGCGGCGUGCCUAAUACAUGCAAGUAGAACGCUGAAGAGAGGAGCUUGCUCUUCUUGGAUGAGUUGCGAACGGGUGAGUAACGCGUAGGUAACCUGCCUGGUAGCGGGGGAUAACUAUUGGAAACGAUAGCUAAUACCGCAUAAAAUUGAUUAUUGCAUGAUAAUUAAUUGAAAGAUGCAACUGCAUCACUACCAGAUGGACCUGCGUUGUAUUAGCUAGUUGGUGAGGUAACGGCUCACCAAGGCGACGAUACAUAGCCGACCUGAGAGGGUGAUCGGCCACACUGGGACUGAGACACGGCCCAGACUCCUACGGGAGGCAGCAGUAGGGAAUCUUCGGCAAUGGGGGGAACCCUGACCGAGCAACGCCGCGUGAGUGAAGAAGGUUUUCGGAUCGUAAAGCUCUGUUGUAAGAGAAGAACGGGUGUGAGAGUGGAAAGUUCACACUGUGACGGUAUCUUACCAGAAAGGGACGGCUAACUACGUG